Sarcophilus harrisii (Tasmanian devil) is the source of this 110-nucleotide non-coding RNA. Lineage: Eukaryota; Metazoa; Chordata; Mammalia; Dasyuromorphia; Dasyuridae. The record is from Rfam.
UGCAAUUAAAUAAAUUUGCAAUAUGUUUUGGUAGCACAUAUACUAAGAGAAAAUAAGUAUUGCUUCUGUGCAAGGAUGAUAUGAAGAUUCAUGAAAUAUUCAGUAUUUUU